AUCGCUUCUCGGCCUUUGGCUAAGAUCAAGUGUAGUAUCUGUUCUUAUCAUUUAUAUCUGAUACGUCCCCCAUCGGGGGACUACAUAUUAAAUGGAUUUUUCGAACAGGGAGUCGGAAAUGGGGCUUGCUCCGUCGCUCCACGCAUCGACCCGGUAUUGCAGUACCUCCGGAACGGUGCGCAACAC
RNAcentral lists this small nuclear RNA (186 nucleotides) under Oncorhynchus mykiss (rainbow trout). RNAcentral's name for it is "U2 spliceosomal RNA (ENSOMYG00000050309.1)". It matches the Rfam family "U2 spliceosomal RNA". Rfam says of the family: U2 is a small nuclear RNA (snRNA) component of the spliceosome (involved in pre-mRNA splicing). Complementary binding between U2 snRNA (in an area lying towards the 5' end but 3' to hairpin I) and the branchpoint sequence (BPS) of the intron results the bulging out of an unpaired adenosine, on the BPS, which initiates a nucleophilic attack at the intronic 5' splice site, thus starting the first of two transesterification reactions that mediate splicing. Lineage: Eukaryota; Metazoa; Chordata; Actinopteri; Salmoniformes; Salmonidae. The record is from RNAcentral.